UAGCUGAAUAAGAAUUAAGGUCGUUUUAUGUUUGGCAUAAAACGUUAAAAGGGAAGUUGGUGUAAAUCCAACACGGUCCCGCCACUGUAAUCGGUAGAGCUGUUCAUUCGCCCACUGUUCGAUAUAAGAAUGGGAAGGGGAACUACGCUUGUUUGAUCCGUGAGUCAGGAAACCUGCCUUAAUCGAUUGUGCGUA
Molecule: non-coding RNA, 195 nt
Filed under: Fictibacillus arsenicus
Lineage: Bacteria; Bacillati; Bacillota; Bacilli; Caryophanales; Fictibacillaceae
Source: RNAcentral